RNAcentral lists this ribosomal RNA (444 nucleotides) under uncultured Porphyromonadaceae bacterium. RNAcentral describes it as "bacterial SSU rRNA". It matches the Rfam family "Bacterial small subunit ribosomal RNA", at positions 354 to 794 of the family's 1533-position model. The record is from RNAcentral. Lineage: Bacteria; Pseudomonadati; Bacteroidota; Bacteroidia; Bacteroidales; Porphyromonadaceae.
UGAGGGAAUAUUGGGUCAAUGGGCGCAGGCCUGAACCAGCCAAGUCGCGUGAGGGAGGACGGUCCUACGGAUUGUAAACCUCUUUUGUCGGGGAGUAACGUGCGGGACGCGUCCCGUAUUGAGAGUACCCGAAGAAAAAGCAUCGGCUAACUCCGUGCCAGCAGCCGCGGUAAUACGGAGGAUGCGAGCGUUAUCCGGAUUUAUUGGGUUUAAAGGGUGCGUAGGCGGACGAUUAAGUCAGCGGUGAAAGCGUGUGGCUCAACCAUACCACUGCCGUUGAUACUGGUUGUCUUGAGUGUAAACGAGGUAGGCGGAAUGUGAUGUGUAGCGGUGAAAUGCUUAGAUAUGUCACAGAACCCCGAUUGCGAAGGCAGCUUACCAGGAUACAACUGACGCUGAGGCACGAAAGCGUGGGUAUCAAACAGGAUUAGAUACCCUGGUAGU